UCUGUUUUUCCCUCCAACAAAAUUUACAUUAUUAUUUAUUUUUUCCCCUCCAACAAAAUUUCUCUCAGAAAAAAAGAAGUUUCCCUCUCACUUGCCAGUUUUCCUCUCCCCCUCGUCUCUCUCAUUCGCUGUGGUGUCCAAGUUUGCUUUCAAUCGUUCUUCAAAACUACAGGUGUUUCGCUUGUGUUUUUUCUAGGUCCUACUCUUGAGGUACGAUAUGUACACUAUUGGGUUUCUUAUCUCAUAAGAAAGCCCUAACCCUAGUUCCCCGUUUGGUGUUUCUCUUCAAAAAUUAUCAUCAGUAGGCUUAAGUUAUGGAUUAGUUUGUUUUGUGCAACAAUGCCCAAAUCUGUGAUGCGCCAAACUGUUAAUGCCAAGACAAGAGAAUAUUAGCUCUCUAAAGUUGUAUAUGAAGGGCAGUUCAUGGAUGUGAGAUGCUAUGGCCUAUAAAUGAACUUUCAGUCAAUGAAAGGUACAUAUCCCUUUCUUUAUAGCUAGGCUCUAUUGUUUGACGUUUAGAAAUUAAUUUAAUUUAGUGAUCAUUAACUAUAUUUAGUAUUUGAAGUUCUUAUGGUUUGGUAACCAAACCACAUUAUUCAUACCUAGAAACAGAUUUGAUUGCAUUAUUUUUUUCUUGAGCUUAUGGCCUUGGAUGCAACUUUCAUUUCAAAGGUUCUACAUAUAUGUGAAGUUAAACGAGGUGAGUGGAUGCAUUUGUAUGGGACAAAUCCCCACUAAGUGCUCAUACAAAGUGAGUGUUGGUCCAUAUUUUAUGGAAAGUCCCCAUGUAUUGUUACUGUCUACAAGGGUGUAGCUUAGUGGAAGGUGGGGUUGCCCCCCAGUGUUUUGGUUAGAAGUGUAAAAUAUUCGAUUUUUUGUCCGAAAAUUUUAAAAUUAUAUAGGAUUGUCCCCCUAAUUAUGUUGCCUAAAUAUUUAUACAAUAUAUAAAUUGGGUCCCAUGACUUUUCCCCCGUCGGAACUUUUGGUCAAGCUCCGCCACUGACUGUCUAUGUACUUAAACAAUGGCAUUUGGGUCCAGGAAUUCUACAAAUGUUUUCUUGUUUUUUUAUAGACUUUUGAGUCAUUUGGUUAAUUUCACAGCAAACAACAGCUGAUGCCUUUGUUCCAUUCUCUGGCUCCUCCAUUGCAUCAUUAUGUGUGAAAGCAAUGCCAUCACACCGCGACCUACAGUUGUCACACGUCGGCCUACCUUUGUUGGUCGUCUCCUGAUUUCUGAGUGAUCCACUUGAAUUUGUAGAAGAAGCUCAGCAGAAAUGGUGUGUGGCGUUUACCAAAACGAAAAACAAGCUGAAAAUUGCAUUUAAUAAACAGUAAAAAGUGGCGAACAUAGAAGAUAUCAGGGGCGCAGUGGUGGUGAUGUCUACGGAGCUUACGGUAGUUAUUCUUAUGGACGUGGUGGUAGUGUUGGGGGUUCAAGGCACAUCCCUGCUUCUAGAAGGCGGGAUUAUAAUUACUGACGGGUAGUGAUGGUUUCUUCUUUAUUUAGCCGAAGCCUGAAGCCAGCCUAAACAACCAGAAGACCGGUUGAACCGAACCAGUUAUGGCCCACCUUAAGAGGAUAACUGAACCAGAAGACCAUGUUUCGACACUAUUUUACCAAGGUGAAGGAAAUUCAGCUUACUAGAGGCAUUGAAAAAACCACCUAAUGCUUGGUGAAGGGCUUAAAAUGACGUAAAAAGAAGUUAUAUACAGUGAAUUGGGGCUGAUGUGGGUGCAGUAAGUGCUUGGGACAACUAUGAAGAUUGUGAAAGAGGUUCAUAAGGGCAAUACAAUUUUGAUUAUGUUUGUUAGUUAUUUGUUUUGUAUGUUUGUUAUUUAGACUUAGGUUGACACUUAUUAGGCAUUUGUUUGAAACAUUUGAAAUGUUUGAAAGAUGAUUGAACUUUUAAUUGAAAUGAUUG
Long non-coding RNA from Helianthus annuus (common sunflower), 1922 nucleotides. RefSeq lists it as uncharacterized. The record is from RefSeq and is a predicted model, not a curated record. NCBI's taxonomy places the organism in Eukaryota, Viridiplantae, Streptophyta, Magnoliopsida, Asterales, Asteraceae. The transcript is spliced from 10 exons.